Molecule: ribosomal RNA, 227 nt
Filed under: uncultured rumen protozoa
Lineage: Eukaryota
Description: partial 18S ribosomal RNA
Rfam family: Eukaryotic small subunit ribosomal RNA
Source: RNAcentral
CUGGUUAAUUCCGAUAACGAACGAGACCUUAACCUGCUAACUAGUUGCUUUCGUUUUACGGUUGCUAACUUCUUAGAGGGACUAUGUAAAUCAAUUACAUGGAAGUUUGAGGCAAUAACAGGUCAGUGAUGCCCUUAUAUGUCCUGGGCUGCACGCGUGCUACACUGAUGUAUACAACAAGUGCCUAGCCAGACAUGGUAUGGCAAUCUCGAAUAUGCAUCGUGAUG